UACGUAGGUGGCAAGCGUUAUCCGGAUUUAUUGGGCGUAAAGGGAACGCAGGCGGUCUUUUAAGUGAGAUGUGAAAUACUCGGGCUCAACUUGAGUGCUGCAUUUCAAACUGGAAGUCUAGAGUGCAGGAGAGGAGAAUGGAAUUCCUAGUGUAGCGGUGAAAUGCGUAGAGAUUAGGAAGAACACCAGUGGCGAAGGCGAUUCUCUGGACUGUAACUGACGCUGAGGCUCGAAAGCGUGGGGAGCAAACAGG
This 253-nucleotide ribosomal RNA is filed under the name uncultured bacterium. RNAcentral's name for it is "partial 16S ribosomal RNA". It matches the Rfam family "Bacterial small subunit ribosomal RNA", at positions 524 to 776 of the family's 1533-position model. The record is from RNAcentral.